This 693-nucleotide ribosomal RNA is filed under the name uncultured fungus. RNAcentral's name for it is "eukaryotic LSU rRNA". The stretch from base 288 to 441 matches the Rfam family "5.8S ribosomal RNA". The record is from RNAcentral. Lineage: Eukaryota; Fungi.
AAGUCGUAACAAGGUUUCCGUAGGUGAACCUGCNNAAGGAUCAUUAUUGAAAUAAUCCUGAUGGGUUGCUGCUGGUUCUCUAGGGAACAUGUGCACACUUGUCAUCUUUAUAUCUUCACCUGCGCACCUUUUGUAGGCCUAGAUAUUUUUCAGAGUGCCUCCCAGCAUUCUGGUAUGAGGAAUGACUUUGCUGUCUUUCCUUACAUUUUUAGGCCUAUGUUUCUUCAUAUACCCCAAUGUAUGUUACAGAAUGUAGUCAAUAGGUGUUUGUGCCUAUAAAUCUAUACAACUUUCAGCAACGGAUCUCUUGGCUCUCGCAUCGAUGAAGAACGCAGCGAAAUGCGAUAAGUAAUGUGAAUUGCAGAAUUCAGUGAAUCAUNGAAUCUUUGAACGCACCUUGCGCUCCUUGGUAUUCCGAGGAGCAUGCCUGUUUGAGUGUCAUUAAUAUAUCAAUCUCCUCAGCUUUUUUGCUUGUUGAGUUUUGGAUGUGGGGGUUCUCUUUUGCUGGCUUCUUUUCAAGAGGUCAGCUCCCCUAAAAUGCAUUAGCGGAGCAAUUUGUUGACCGUCAUUGGUGUGAUAACUAUCUACGCUAUUGACGGUUAAAGCAUGUUCAGCUUCUAACAGUNCAUUGACUUGGACAACUUUUUCAUUAAUGUGACCUCAAAUCANGUAGGGACUACCCGCUGAACUUAA